RNAcentral lists this ribosomal RNA (552 nucleotides) under uncultured bacterium. RNAcentral describes it as "partial 16S ribosomal RNA". It matches the Rfam family "Bacterial small subunit ribosomal RNA", at positions 355 to 895 of the family's 1533-position model. The record is from RNAcentral.
UGGGGAAUAUUGCACAAUGGGCGCAAGCCUGAUGCAGCCAUGCCGCGUGUGUGAAGAAGGCCUUCGGGUUGUAAAGCACUUUCAGCGAGGAGGAAGGUGGUGAGCUUAAUACGCUCAUCAAUUGACGUUACUCGCAGAAGAAGCACCGGCUAACUCCGUGCCAGCAGCCGCGGUAAUACGGAGGGUGCAAGCGUUAAUCGGAAUUACUGGGCGUAAAGCGCACGCAGGCGGUUUGUUAAGUCAGAUGUGAAAUCCCCGGGCUCAACCUGGGAACUGCAUUUGAAACUGGCAAGCUAGAGUCUCGUAGAGGGGGGUAGAAUUCCAGGUGUAGCGGUGAAAUGCGUAGAGAUCUGGAGGAAUACCGGUGGCGAAGGCGGCCCCCCUGGACGAAGACUGACGCUCAGGUGCGAAAGCGUGGGGCAGCAAACAGGAUUAGAUACCCUGGUAGUCCAGCGCUGUAAAACGAUGUCGAUUUGGAGGUUGUGCCCUUGAGGCGUGGCUUCCGGAGCUAACGCGUUAAAUCGACCGCCUGGGGAGUACGGCCGCAAGGUU